UACGUAGGGUGCGAGCGUUAAUCGGAAUUACUGGGCGUAAAGCGUGCGCAGGCGGUUCGUUGUGUCGGUGGUGAAAUCCCCGGGCUUAACCUGGGAAUGGCCAUGGAAACUGGCGAACUGGAGUGUGGCAGAGGGGGGUGGAAUUCCGCGUGUAGCAGUGAAAUGCGUAGAGAUGCGGAGGAACACCGAUGGCGAAGGCAGCCCCCUGGGCUAACACUGACGCUCAGGCACGAAAGCGUGGGGAGCAAACAGG
This 253-nucleotide ribosomal RNA is filed under the name uncultured bacterium. Its description in RNAcentral is "partial 16S ribosomal RNA". It matches the Rfam family "Bacterial small subunit ribosomal RNA", at positions 524 to 776 of the family's 1533-position model. The record is from RNAcentral.